This 491-nucleotide ribosomal RNA is filed under the name uncultured bacterium. Its description in RNAcentral is "partial 16S ribosomal RNA". It matches the Rfam family "Bacterial small subunit ribosomal RNA", at positions 28 to 507 of the family's 1533-position model. The record is from RNAcentral.
GAUGAACGCUGGCUACAGGCUUAACACAUGCAAGUCGAGGGGAAACGCCGGGGAAGCUUGCUUCCCCGGGCGUCGACCGGCGCACGGGUGAGUAACGCGUAUCCAACCUGCCUCUGACUGAGGGAUAACCCGUCGAAAGUCGGCCUAAUACCUCAUGGUAUCGUCUGCGGGCAUCCAACGACGAUUAAAGAUUUCAUCGGUCAGGGAUGGGGAUGCGUCUGAUUAGCUUGUUGGCGGGGUAACGGCCCACCAAGGCUACGAUCAGUAGGGGUUCUGAGAGGAAGGGCCCCCACAUUGGAACUGAGACACGGUCCAAACUCCUACGGGAGGCAGCAGUGAGGAAUAGUGGUCAAUGGGCGAGAGCCUGAACCAGCCAAGUAGCGUGCAGGAAGACGGCCCUAUGGGUUGUAAACUUCUUUUAUGAGGGGAUAAAGUGAGGGACGUGUCCCUCAUUGCAGGUACCGCAUGAAUAAGGACCGGCUAAUUCCGUG